CUACGGGCGGCAGCAGUGAGGAAUAUUGCACAAUGGGGGGAACCCUGAUGCAGCAACGCCGCGUGGAGGAUGACGCAUUUCGGUGUGUAAACUCCUUUUAUAUGUCAAGAAAAUGACGGUAGCAUAUGAAUAAGCACCGGCUAACUCCGUGCCAGCAGCCGCGGUAAUACGGAGGGUGCAAGCGUUACUCGGAAUCACUGGGCGUAAAGGACGCGUAGGCGGGUUGGAAGGCAGGUGUGAAAUCCUACAGCUUAACUGUAGAACUGCACUUGAAACUUCUAAUCUAGAGUAUGGGAGGGGGAGAUGGAAUUAGUGGUGUAGGGGUAAAAUCCGUAGAUAUCACUAGGAAUACCUAAAGCGAAGGCGAUCUCCUGGAACAUUACUGACGCUAAGGCGUGAAAGCGUGGGGAGCAAACAGGAUUAGAUACCCGUGUAGUC
RNAcentral lists this ribosomal RNA (438 nucleotides) under uncultured bacterium. RNAcentral describes it as "partial 16S ribosomal RNA". It matches the Rfam family "Bacterial small subunit ribosomal RNA", at positions 339 to 795 of the family's 1533-position model. The record is from RNAcentral.